Molecule: unclassified non-coding RNA, 247 nt
Filed under: uncultured fungus
Lineage: Eukaryota; Fungi
Description: sequence contains ITS1, 5.8S rRNA gene
Rfam family: 5.8S ribosomal RNA (bases 199-247)
Source: RNAcentral
UUUCCGUAGGUGAACCUGCGGAAGGAUCAUUACAGAGACAUUGCCCUUUGGGGUAGAUCUCCCACCCUUUGUUUACAUUACCUUUGUUGCUUUGGCAGGCCCGUCCUUGGACCACCGGCUUAGGCUGGUCCGUGCCUGCCAGAGGACCCUAAACUCUUGAUUUUUUGUGUUGUCUGAGUAAAUAUUAUAAUAAGUUAAAACUUUCAACAACGGAUCUCUUGGUUCUGGCAUCGAUGAAGAACGCAGC